GCUGGAGAGAGGGCUCAAUGGAUAAGAGCACUGACUGCUCUUCGAGAGGUCCUGAGUUCAAUUCCCAGCAACUGCA
RNAcentral lists this transfer RNA (76 nucleotides) under Mus musculus (house mouse). Its description in RNAcentral is "tRNA-Ser". Lineage: Eukaryota; Metazoa; Chordata; Mammalia; Rodentia; Muridae. The record is from RNAcentral.